UUAUACAACAAACAUUUGAGCUGCGUCGGAUAGAAAUCGACCUUAUGUAAGUUCACGUACGCAUGUACAUGUAUAAAGCCUUUGGUGGAUUUUCGAACAUUUAAAUGUGAAAUAAAAGAUGAACUUCGGCUUAUUUUGUAGGGGUUCAUAUAACAACUAAAUUUUCAAGUAGUCACAGACUUUCAUACAGAUUUUGUCAAUUGUCAACCCGACAUCAAAGUUAACAUAUACAUGUAUUGAUUUUCAUUUGC
This 251-nucleotide long non-coding RNA is filed under the name Mytilus galloprovincialis (Mediterranean mussel). Lineage: Eukaryota; Metazoa; Mollusca; Bivalvia; Mytilida; Mytilidae. The record is from RNAcentral.